Long non-coding RNA from Ctenopharyngodon idella (grass carp), 4304 nucleotides. RefSeq lists it as uncharacterized. The transcript has 5 exons. NCBI's taxonomy places the organism in Eukaryota, Metazoa, Chordata, Actinopteri, Cypriniformes, Xenocyprididae. The record is from RefSeq and is a predicted model, not a curated record.
ACUGUGCUCUCUUGGCAUUCGUGCACGUGUACAUUUUAAUGAGGGAGGGGUCGGUGUAGUAAAUAAAUAAAUAUAUCAAAUGACAGAAUAAAAAAAAGUAUGUGAUCUACUGAAAGUAAAAUGAAUGCAUUGGAUUUUUUAUGCUAAAACAUUUGUGCAAUCACUAGAGUUUAUAAGCGUGAGCUGGUUAAUGACGGGUUUAAACAGGACCUUCAAAUUCUUCACGCUGACUAGAAAUGGCAUCAGAAAUAGCAGUGGUCAGAGACAUGUAUGAAGGGCUGGUUAUUGAAGAAGGACAAGAUGAAGAAAAAGCAAGAAAGCAACACAGAGAACGACAGCUGAACGAAAACCCAGAUAUUCUCUUCAGAGUUUAUAAAGAAGAUGAAGAAAUUCCGCAUGUUCUGCUCUUCAGACCCACGAAUGACAGCUGGUGGAUAGAAAGACUUAAAUAUCGAUAUUCUGGUAUCUUUGCUCAGUGGACUUACAAACAUGCUGAUAAUGAGCCGAUUCGACAUGUGAUGAAUCUCUCUGGUGAUCGGAUUCAGUUGCAGAGAUUCUGUGAUGAGUUUCCAAACAAUCGUUUGAUGUCUCUUGGUGACAAUGAUGAAGAAGCUGAAGAUGAAGAAGCUGAAGAUCUGAGAGCACCAAUAGAAGAUCUGAGAGGAACAAUAGAAGAUCUGAGAGCAAGAAUACAAGAUCUUGAAUUGGAAAACAGAAGAUGUAGUCUACAAUGACACAAUUCAAGCAAGAGCUGCCAUAAACAUGAGAGAUGUUCAACAAAUCAUGACAACUGAGUCAAGUAGCCCGUCUCACCCUCCAGAACUUCAGCUAAAUUAUCAUCUGAAAACAUUAUUGUUCAUGUUUAAGUUAAAUCAAUGCUGAGAAAACUCACAUCAUGUAACAGUGCAAGUUGUGUUUCAUCAUCUAAUAACAGCUGUUGAGAAUUGGUUCAUGUUUACUUUAUAAUAAUAGACAUGUGAUUAUGAAUAUAACAGUCGGCAUAAUAUAUUUUUUCAUCUCUUCCACACAGAGAUCAUGUUUUUACCUGAAAAAUAUGAAUUUCUUGUAUUUCUCUUUCUCUGUCAUGUUCAAGCUGUGAUUAAAUCUGUCACACUUUUUAGUUUAUAUUUCUCAGGGUGUGGUUAUUGUUAAAAAUGUAUUUCUGUAUAAACACAAGCCCUAUUAAAUCAUGACUACAACAAAUCUAAUGGACAUUUUCACUGUUGACCUAAAGUGGCAGGACACGAUGUCAUACUGUAUGGGGUAAGUUGUCACAGUGGAAUCUUUCACACACUGUAACACAUAAUCUGUCAUAUUUGUCUUAGUUUCAUUUUCAUGGACUUUCGUUUGUUUCUAUUCAGUUUCCUUUUUCCUUUGUUCUAGUUCCUGCCAGUCUUUAGUUGUCUCUGUGUAUCAGGCCAAUUUGCACAUUUACAUCCUCUUCAAAACCUAAUACAAAAAUGAAUACGACAGCAAUUUGCUACAUUCCUACCAUAUUGAAUUAUAUCCUAAAUCAAAAAAAAAAAAAGAAAUACUAUCAAAACAAUCAGAUAGCCGAACACCUACACGAGUGUUAGUCUUUCAGUUUCAUCACCAUCUAAGGGGAAACUUAGUGUCCGAGAUAAACCACGCCCUCCUCAUUACCCUACGGACAAAGAAAUGUAAAAAUACAUAAAUGUAGAAAUAAAGAAAUGUAGAAAUGAAUAAAUGUUGAAAUGAACAAAUAUGGAAAUAAAUACACAAAUAAAUAAAAAUCGAAAUGAAUAAAUGUUUAAAUAAAUAAAAGAAAAAUAAAUGUGGAAAAAAAUAAAUAUACAUAAAUAAGGAAAUAAAUGUAUAAAUAAUUAUUUAUUUAUUCAUUUUUAUUUUUUGCUUUUCUAUGUAUAUUUAUUUAUGUAUUUAUUUAUUUUUAAUUUUGGCAGACUCCAUACCAGAAGGAGUAGACUUGUGUUUCUGUUUUCCCUCUCCCUUGACUCAGAAAACGAAACUAAUGUUUUACCAGAAAGCGAAACCGAAAUUUACCGUGACAUUUUUAGUGGUCCUUCAAGAGCCUGAGAGCUGAAACAUCAACGAAGCGCUGGAGAACAACAUUUGCUGAAAUCAAAAAAGCUAGCUUUCAUUUGACCAUUGGACAAAGAUCUAGGACGUGUGGAUCUUCCGGGUGAAUUUGGCCUGCUACAGAAACCUCUCCACCUUCUCAAUGGACACUUCCUUAUGUUAUCCCUGUUUUCAACCUGACACGGAAAGCAUAAUGUCUGUGAUGCGUGAUCUUAAGGAAAAGAACUUUUCAGACGACACCCUUUUCUCCAACUUGGACUUUGCUGAGAGAUUCCUUCAAUACCAUCCUCUAAAACAGUACUCAAAGUUGUUGGUUAAGGGAAACUACUCUUGUGUACAAAUUGGUGAUAGUAAACAGGUGAUCUUUACUGUAAGAUCAGAAAACAACCAAGUCUUCGUGAAUGUCUGUAUCCACAACAUAUAUGGUGGAAAAGUCUCAAAGGAUUCCAUUAAAGCCUGUCACUUUUUCAACCACUCUUGCCAAGAUGAGUUUAAAUCCUGUUUUACACAGGCUCAAGAAGCUGUUCCUAAAGAGGGUCUGACAAGACUACACAUUAUAUGCAACUGGUUCUCAGUCACCUACAGCACCAAAUUUCAUGGUCCAGGCCCAACUGUGGAAACAAAGUGUCAUUUAAAGCUUGAGAACAUGACUGCUGAGAGUUUGCUGAACAAAAAAGUCUGGCUGCAGAAAGAGAAGCCCACAUGUCACGGUUUGAUAGCAUGUCUACACUAUCUCACAAAGCAAUACCUUACCGCAAGCAUUUCUUCAUGGUUAUGCUAUGGAUUUGUCAUACAUGCGGACCAAGAAAUAAUCAAAAUCUCUUCAGGUGAAAAUGUUAACACAGAGUAUGUAUUGCUACAUGAUCAUGAGGGGGUCUCAAUGUUUCCUCCAACAUUGGAAUAGAAGCUAUGACAGCAUUCCAGAAUACUGCAACAUAGUCUGUUUAUGAUAAAUAUAAUCACAGACAUGAUUAAAUGAAUUCAUUAUCCACAUAAUCACAAAUCUUCACGACUAAAAGUUUGUUUAAAAUAUUAGCCCUCAAAUAACAAUGCCAUUACCUCUUGAGUCAGUAUAUGCAAUGCAUAUCUUUUGUUUUAAUAGAUUUACAUUUGCAUGCUUUCCUACUUCAUCUGUGUUUGCUGACAAAAAAAAAAAAUGUAGUAGAUUAUAUUAUUCUGUACUCAGAUUAUUUUUUUAUAAUCUUUAAUAUCAUAAUAAUAGACAAUAUGUAAAUAAACAGCUUGAUUCUUUGUUCUUUGUAGUUCUGUAUCCUGCAUGUUUUGCCUUGAAUUUUAUUAAGUGAUGAAGAUCAGAUUUUAAUGUACACAGUAAUGCACAACAAAAAAAAAAAAAAACAUUUUAAUAGUUAUAUAAAAUAAGUUACAGUGAAUUUAAAGCAUAAUAAAACAGUAUAAAACAAUUUGGUGUAUGUUUGAAUGACUAAUUGCAAGCAGAAUUAUGUCAAUAUGUGACAACUUACCCCAUGACUGUCAAAAUACUAGCAGUUGGUGACAUUACGAAAACUGCAUUACUUGUCAUGUUUCAGUUCUACCUGCAGAAAAUAUGAAAUCCAUAGUUUUUUAUAAUUCCGUUUCCUUUUACUGCAGCAAUAGUAGAAUGCUCACAUGUAAGCCACUCUACAUUUUUGGUUGAGGGUUGAGUGUGUGCAUUCUUGGCAACAUACUUUUCUAAAAGUGAAUGAGUUAUUACUUUAGAAUGUACAGUAGAAAAAAAGAAGAAGAAAGUAACAGAAUUGCUACUGGCCAAAUGAGUCCCCUAUGAAGAACUUCAGUUCUGUUGAAAUCUCUUUCUGAGGGUGUGUGUGUGGUGUUGAUGGUGCCCAUAGAGGGUGGGAUGGUGUCCACUUGGUAGUUAGCGCCCUACACAGACCACAUAUUCUGCAUAUAUGGAACAGUAUUAGUGGAAUCGUUGUAGUAUGAAACAUUUACUGAAAUGAAAACAUGAAAUUGCUGCCAUUGAUCAACAACAAAUCCAGGUCUUUGGUUACUGUUGAAGCUUUUUUUCCACCACAGAAUAAAACAGUAUUACAGGUAACUGUGACUUUUUAUUUUGCAAUUGUGAGUUUACAUCUCGCAAUUCUGACUUUUUUUCUUCUCAGAAUUGUGAGAUGUAAACUAUAGGAAUUGAGAGAAAAAAGUCAGAAUUGUGAGAUAAAAAGACACAAUUACCUUUUUUAUUUUCUAUUCAUGGCAGAAAUAAGCUUUCAUAGGUUCUACAUGUGUGA